Molecule: ribosomal RNA, 253 nt
Filed under: uncultured bacterium
Lineage: Bacteria
Description: partial 16S ribosomal RNA
Rfam family: Bacterial small subunit ribosomal RNA
Source: RNAcentral
UACGUAGGGUGCGAGCGUUAAUCGGAAUUACUGGGCGUAAAGCGCACGUAGGCGGGUCGUUAAGUCAGUGGUGAAAUCCCGGAGCUCAACUCCGGAACUGCCUUUGAUACUGGCGACCUUGAGAUCGGGAGAGGUGAGUGGAAUUCCGAGUGUAGAGGUGAAAUUCGUAGAUAUUCGGAAGAACACCAGUGGCGAAGGCGGCUCACUGGCUCGAUACUGACGCUGAGGUGCGAAAGCGUGGGGAGCAAACAGG